RNAcentral lists this transfer RNA (72 nucleotides) under Elusimicrobiota bacterium. RNAcentral's name for it is "Elusimicrobia bacterium (groundwater metagenome) tRNA-Arg". It matches the Rfam family "tRNA". Rfam says of the family: Transfer RNA (tRNA) molecules are approximately 80 nucleotides in length. Their secondary structure includes four short double-helical elements and three loops (D, anti-codon, and T loops). Further hydrogen bonds mediate the characteristic L-shaped molecular structure. tRNAs have two regions of fundamental functional importance: the anti-codon, which is responsible for specific mRNA codon recognition, and the 3' end, to which the tRNAs corresponding amino acid is attached (by aminoacyl-tRNA synthetases). tRNAs cope with the degeneracy of the genetic code in two manners: having more than one tRNA (with a specific anti-codon) for a particular amino acid; and 'wobble' base-pairing, i.e. permitting non-standard base-pairing at the 3rd anti-codon position. The record is from RNAcentral. Lineage: Bacteria; Pseudomonadati; Elusimicrobiota.
GCGCCCAUAGCACAAAGGAUAGUGUAUAGCCCUGCGAAGGCUGGGAUGGUGGUUCGACUCCACCUGGGCGCA